RNAcentral lists this long non-coding RNA (469 nucleotides) under Sarcophilus harrisii (Tasmanian devil). Its description in RNAcentral is "lncRNA (ENSSHAG00000031862.1)". Lineage: Eukaryota; Metazoa; Chordata; Mammalia; Dasyuromorphia; Dasyuridae. The record is from RNAcentral.
AGUCGUCAUCAUUUUUUGUUUAAGGUGCAAGUUAAAUGAGUUGAUGGCUGUACUGGAAUGUUUACUUCUACCAGAUCUGAUGUAGCUAAACCAACCAGGAGCAGAUAAUUGAAGAUUUUCAGUGUUUGUUAAUCACUGAUGACAUGCUUUGGAAGUACUCAAAACAAAGGAUUCCCAGGUAUUAGAGGAGCAGCGAGCAAUCUCCCUUUGGAUAUUUAUGAGAAUUUUCUAGCAGGCUAUUGGAUGUUGGGGAUGGCACAGAGAUAAGAGUAUUGGAACUUAUUACUCUGUUGAGAGCUUUCUACUUCUUCAAGCAAUAUUGAAAUAAGGAAUCAAAUAGAAGGUCAUGACAGAGUUGGAUCCUUGGUAAGAAUGAGAAGGAGAUGCAGAAACAAAUCAGUCCAGCUCCCUAGCUAUGAUUCUAAUAAUGUGACCUGAUUGAGAUCAGGAAUAAUUAAGACUAUCCCCU